This 2439-nucleotide long non-coding RNA is filed under the name Homo sapiens (human). RNAcentral's name for it is "HSALNT0238387". Lineage: Eukaryota; Metazoa; Chordata; Mammalia; Primates; Hominidae. The record is from RNAcentral.
UAUAGGCUUUAGAAGACCAUGCUGUAGCAGGCGAGUGAUAACAGGCUUUAAUCCUUUUAAAGCAUGCCAUGGGAUGGGAUAUUGGCGUUGAUUGGAGUAAGGGUGAUUAGGUUUUAAUGGGAUGGUAAGGCGUGCAUGAUCGGUCACCAAGGAGGGAGUAGAGGUGUCCCAUACUUGUGGAUUAAGGUGGGGAGAUACAAGGGGAGGAUGCGAAGAAGGCUUCGAACUGGGGAAAAGGGCAGCAAUGAGGUGUGGCUGUAGCCCAGGGAUAGUCAGGGAAGCAGAUAAUUUGGUUAACGUGUCUUCACCUAAUAAGGGAGCUGGGCAGGUGGGGAUAACUAAAACAGAGUGCAUAAAAGAAUGCUGUCCAAGUUGGCACCAGAGUUGGGGAGUUUUAAGAGGUUUAGAAGCCUGGCUGUCGAUACCCUCAACAGUUAUGGAGGCAAGGGAAACACGCCCUUGAAAAGAAGGUAAUGUGGAGUGGGUAGCCUCCAUAUUGAUUAAGAAGGGGAUGGACUUACCCUCCACUGUAAGUCACCCAAAGCGUCUGUGAUGGUCCUGUAGGCUUCCAAGGCGAUCGGGCAGUGUCAGUCUUCAGCCACUAAGCUGAGAAGAUCUGGGAAGAAGUCAGUCAGAGAGCCUUAGGCCAGAGUUCCAGGUGCGCUGGGAGUGGCUGCCGGGCGAGUUGGACAGUCCGAUUUCCAGUGGGGUCCCACACAGAUGGGACGUGGCUUAGGAGGAAUCCCAGGCUAUGGGCAUUCCUUGGCCCAGUGGCCAGAUUUCCGGCACUUGAAGCAAGAUCCUGGGAGAGGCAGUCCUGGAGGAAUGCCUGGCCCCUGCGGUUUAGGCGUUUGGAAGUUCUUGUGUGCUGGAGAUGUGGCUGGGGUUUCUCUCACAGCGGAGGCAAGUAAUUGCAACUCUUCUCUAUUAUUGUACACCUUGAAGGCGAGGUCAGUUAAGUCCUGUUGUGGGUUGAGGGCCAGAAUCUAAUUUUUGGAGCUUUUUCUAAUGUCGGGAGUGGGUUUGGUAAUAAAAUGCAUAUUGAGAAUAAGACAGCCUUCUGGCCCCUCUGGGUCUAGGGUGGUAAAGCAUCUAAGAGUUGUUGCCAAACAGGCCAUGGACUGGGCUGGGUUUUCAUAUUUGAUGAAAAAGAGCCUAAACGCUAACUGAUUUGGGAGAGGUCGGAUAAAGAAAAAGGAGCAUUAACCUUGGCUAUGCCUUCAGCUCCAGCCACCUCUCUAAGAGGAAAUUGUUGGGCAGGUUGGGGAGGGCUAGUCGCAGAACGAAACUGUAAGCCAGAUCGGGUGUGAGGAGGGGAGGUAAUAGAAGGGUUCUACGGUGGGGGAGUGGAGGCUGAAGAAGAGUUGGGACUGGUGAGGAGCAGCCUGGGGAGGAGGGAAGAGGUCACAUGGAUCUGUAGAAAAGGAGGAUUCACAGGACUUAGAGCUUGGGGUGGAGACUGAAGGAACAGACAGGAGAGAAAGAAGAAAGAUUUGGGACGAGUCGCAUUGGGAGCAGAGACUAGGGAGGGGCCAAUGUGUAAAAGAAUGGCUGGACGUCAGGCACCUCAGACCAUUUGCCCAUUUUUUGACAAAAAUUAUCUAGAUCUUAUAAAAUGGAGAAAUCAAAAGUGCCGUUUUCUGGCUAUUUAGAACUGUUAUCGAGUUUGUAUUGGGGUCAAGCAGUAUUGCAGAAGAAAAUAAGGCAUUUAAGUUUUAGGUCAGGUGUGAGUUGAAGAGCUUUUAAGUUCUUGAGAACACAGGCUAAGGGAGGAGAAGGGGGAAUGGAGGGCGGAAGUUUGCCCUAAGUGAAGGAGGUAAGUUUAAAGAGAAAAGUAGAGACACAGAGAAGAGGGGCGGUGAGUAGUCAAAGCAGGUGUUCCCGCAAUUGACUUGCCACCAAGGGAAUGUGGGUGAAUGACCAAGGCAGGCAUUCCCGCAGUGAUCAGACACCAAUGGAGUGUUGGUGAAUAAUCAGGCAGGCGUCCCUGCAGUGAUUAUACACCAAGGGAAGACUGUCCUCCCGAGUCCGUGACCGGCACUGGAGUUUUGGGUCCAUGGAUAAAAUGUGUCUCCUUGUCUCUACUAGAGAGGAAAAAGAACUGGAAUUGGAAGGACAGGGAGAUUAAAGGGUAGCGAGAGAGGAAGAUUGUGAAGGGUAGUGAGAGAGGAAGAUUGAAGGGUAGCGAGAGAGGCUGGUGAGGAGUGAAAAGACCGCUUAUCUGAUUUGAAAUUGGUGAGAUGUUCCUUGGGUUGGUUGGUCUGAGGACCCGAGGUUGUAGGUGGAUCUCCUCACGGAGUGAGGGCAAGGACAGGGGACCGGUCUCCUGAAGGAGUCCUCCUGUCCCGGGUCUUCAGCACCACAUGUCACGUGCAGCCGUGUGAAGAGACCACUAAACAGGCUUUGUGUGAGCAACAAAGCUGUUUAUUUCACCUGGGU